ACAGGGAUUGCCCUAGUAACGGCGAGUGAAGCGGCAACAGCUCAAAUUUGAAAUCUGGCUCUUUCAGGGUCCGAGUUGUAAUUUGCAGAGGGCGCUUUGGCGUUGGCAGCGGUCCAAGUUCCUUGGAACAGGACGUCACAGAGGGUGAGAAUCCCGUACGUGGUCGCUGGCCUUCGCCGUGUAAAGCCCCUUCGACGAGUCGAGUUGUUUGGGAAUGCAGCUCUAAAUGGGAGGUAAAUUUCUUCUAAAGCUAAAUACUGGCCAGAGACCGAUAGCGCACAAGUAGAGUGAUCGAAAGAUGAAAAGCACUUUGGAAAGAGAGUCAAAAAGCACGUGAAAUUGUUGAAAGGGAAGCGCUUGCAGCCAGACUUGCCUGUAGUUGCUCAUCCGGGCUCUUGCCCGGUGCACUCUUCUAUGGGCAGGCCAGCAUCAGUUUGGGCGGUUAGAUAAAGGUCUCUGUCACGUACCUCCUCUCGGGGAGGCCUUAUAGGGGAGACGACAUGUAACCAGCCUGGACUGAGGUCCGCGCAUUCGCUAGGAUGCUGGCGUAAUGGCUGUAAGCGGCCCGUCUUGAAACACGGACCAAGGAGUCUAACAUCUAUGCGAGUGUUUGGGUGUCAAGCCCGAACGCGUAAUGAAAGUGAACGGAGGUGGGAACCCGCAAGGGUGCACCAUCGACCGAUCCUGAUGUUUUCGGAUGGAUUUGAGUAAGAGCAUGGCUGUUGGGACCCGAAAGAUGGUGAACUAUGCUUGAAUAGGGUGAAGCCAGAGGAAACUCUGGUGGAGGCUCGCAGCGGUUCUGACGUGCAAAUCGAUCGUCAAAUUUGGGCAUAGGGCGAAAGACUAAUCGAA
Molecule: ribosomal RNA, 852 nt
Filed under: Longiseptatispora meliloti
Lineage: Eukaryota; Fungi; Ascomycota; Dothideomycetes; Pleosporales; Leptosphaeriaceae
Description: Longiseptatispora melilot partial large subunit ribosomal RNA
Rfam family: Eukaryotic large subunit ribosomal RNA
Source: RNAcentral